GUCGAGCGGACAGAUGGGAGCUUGCUCCCUGAUGUUAGCGGCGGACGGGUGAGUAACACGUGGGUAACCUGCCUGUAAGACUGGGAUAACUCCGGGAAACCGGGGCUAAUACCGGAUGCUUGAUUGAACCGCAUGGUUCAAUUAUAAAAGGUGGCUUUUAGCUACCACUUACAGAUGGACCCGCGGCGCAUUAGCUAGUUGGUGAGGUAACGGCUCACCAAGGCGACGAUGCGUAGCCGACCUGAGAGGGUGAUCGGCCACACUGGGACUGAGACACGGCCCAGACUCCUACGGGAGGCAGCAGUAGGGAAUCUUCCGCAAUGGACGAAAGUCUGACGGAGCAACGCCGCGUGAGUGAUGAAGGUUUUCGGAUCGUAAAACUCUGUUGUUAGGGAAGAACAAGUACCGUUCGAAUAGGGCGGUACCUUGACGGUACCUAACCAGAAAGCCACGGCUAACUACGUGCCAGCAGCCGCGGUAAUACGUAGGUGGCAAGCGUUGUCCGGAAUUAUUGGGCGUAAAGCGCGCGCAGGCGGUUUCUUAAGUCUGAUGUGAAAGCCCCCGGCUCAACCGGGGAGGGUCAUUGGAAACUGGGGAACUUGAGUGCAGAAGAGGAGAGUGGAAUUCCACGUGUAGCGGUGAAAUGCGUAGAGAUGUGGAGGAACACCAGUGGCGAAGGCGACUCUCUGGUCUGUAACUGACGCUGAGGCGCGAAAGCGUGGGGAGCGAACAGGAUUAGAUACCCUGGUAGUCCACGCCGUAAACGAUGAGUGCUAAGUGUUAAGAGGGUUUCCGCCCUUUAGUGCUGCAGCAAACGCAUUAAGCACUCCGCCUGGGGGAGUACGGUCGCAAGACUGAAACUCAAAGGAAUUGACGGGGGCCCGCACAAGCGGUGGAACCAGGUGGUUUAAUUCGAAGCAACGCGAAGAACCUUACCAGGUCUUGACAUCCUCUGACAACCCUAGAGAUAGGGCUUCCCCUUCGGGGGCAGAGUGACAGGUGGUUGCAUGGUUGUCGUCAGCUCGUGUCGUGAGAUGUUUGGGUUAAGUCCCGCAACGAGCGCAACCCUUGAUCUUAUUUGCCAGCAUUCAUUUGGGCACUCUAAGGUGACUGCCGGUGACA
RNAcentral lists this ribosomal RNA (1122 nucleotides) under Bacillus sp. (in: firmicutes). Its description in RNAcentral is "bacterial SSU rRNA". It matches the Rfam family "Bacterial small subunit ribosomal RNA", at positions 61 to 1160 of the family's 1533-position model. Lineage: Bacteria; Bacillati; Bacillota; Bacilli; Caryophanales; Bacillaceae. The record is from RNAcentral.